This 497-nucleotide ribosomal RNA is filed under the name uncultured bacterium. RNAcentral's name for it is "partial 16S ribosomal RNA". It matches the Rfam family "Bacterial small subunit ribosomal RNA", at positions 28 to 507 of the family's 1533-position model. The record is from RNAcentral.
GAUGAACGCUGGCGGCGUGCCUAAUACAUGCAAGUCGAGCGAACAGAUGAGGAGCUUGCUCCUCUGACGUUAGCGGCGGACGGGUGAGUAACACGUGGAUAACCUACCUAUAAGACUGGGAUAACUUCGGGAAACCGGAGCUAAUACCGGAUAAUAUAUUGAACCGCAUGGUUCAAUAGUGAAAGACGGUUUUGCUGUCACUUAUAGAUGGAUCCGCGCCGCAUUAGCUAGUAGGUAAGGUAACGGCUUACCAAGGCAACGAUGCGUAGCCGACCUGAGAGGGUGAUCGGCCACACUGGAACUGAGACACGGUCCAGACUCCUACGGGAGGCAGCAGUAGGGAAUCUUCCGCAAAGGGCGAAAGCCUGACGGAGCAACGCCGCGUGAGUGAUGAAGGUCUUCGGAUCGUAAAACUCUGUUAUUAGGGAAGAACAAAUGUGUAAGUAACUAUGCACGUCUUGACGGUACCUAAUCAGAAAGCCACGGCUAACUACGUG